Molecule: long non-coding RNA, 325 nt
Filed under: Nicotiana benthamiana
Lineage: Eukaryota; Viridiplantae; Streptophyta; Magnoliopsida; Solanales; Solanaceae
Description: long non-coding RNA (NBEN_LNC031673)
Source: RNAcentral
UGCUUUUUCAAGGAGAGAAAUAUUUGAGGUUAAAUUGGCGAUUGAGAAGCAUACUAAUCACCGUUGUUGUGUAAUAUAUGGUGCCUUACCACCAGAAACUCGAAGACAGCAAGCUACCUUGUUUAACGAUCUGAACAAUGAGUUUGAUGUCUUGGUUGCCAGCGAUGCUGUCGGAAUGGGUUUAAAUCUCGAACAAUGAGUUUGAUGUCUUGGUUGCCAGUGACGCAGUCGGUAUGGGUUUAAACCUGAACAUUCGAAGAAUCAUCUUCAACACCCUGUCAAAGUACAAUGGUGACAAGAUUGUUCCUGUUCCCUCGUCACAGGU